GGAAGGAUCAUUGAUGCAUUUAUAUCAUUCAUAUGAUUUUAUAACCCCCUUUUUAUGAAGUGAACACAUAUAAAAAAACAUUUUUAUAUGUUUUCUACUUUUUAUUUUUUUAACACCUAUAUUUCUUUACAUCUUUUCUUCAUUUUAUUUUUUGUUCCUCUCUCUUUCUUUCUUUUUUUAAAAGAAAAGAAAAAAAGAAGAAGAAAAAAUAACACAGUAUAUAAAAACCAGAGACUACUUUCAACGACGGAUGUCUCGGCUCCUGUGCGGAUGAAGAACGCAGCGAAAUGCGAUACGUGAUGCGAAUCGCAACGAUCGGUGAGUCAUCUAAGUUUCGAACGCACCCUGCGCUCUCGGUACCCCCGGGAGCGCGUCUGUCUGAGCGUUGCCCUUUAACCCCCCUCAUUUUCUUUUUUCUUUUUCUCUUAAGAGAAAGAAACUUGUAAAAUGGAUUGUUGGGUGUUUGUUUCUCUCUUAAUAAAGAGAGAGGCAUCUCCCUAAUUAUAUCUUUUAUCUUUUUUUUCUUAUCUUUUAAGAUAUGAAAGAAAAUAUCUAUAUAAAUAAAAAGGAUAGCAAUCAUAGAAGUCUUUUUUCUUUCUAUUUUUUUAAUUUAUCGACAUGAUAAUGCUAAAAAAAACAUAUAAAGAAAAAAGAAGGUCUUUUGUUUAUCUAUUUUAUUUAUUUUUUUCAAGUAGUAUCCUUUUAAAAGAUAUUUUUUAAUGGACCAACCUCAGAUCAGGCGCCGCCACCCGCUGAACUUAAGCAUAUCAUUAAGCGGAGGAAGAGAAACCAACAGGGAUUCCCUUAGUAGCGGCGAGCGAACCGGGAAAAGCUCAAGCUCUAAAUCUGAACGGCCAUUAGCGCUGUUCCGAAUUGUAGUCUCGCAGGUGGACAUUGUUGGUGUUCCCCUCUGGAUUUAGAUCCCUUGGAACAGGGUGCCAUGGAGGGUGAGAGCCCCGUGUGACGAUCCAGAGCCAAAGGUGUAAAUGGGAACGCCGGUUAAGCAUUGUUCAUUUCCGGAGUCGGACUGCUCGGGAUUGCAGUCCCAACUGGGUGGUGGACCCCACCUAAAGCUAGAACACUGACAGGAGACCGAUAGCGGACAAGUACCGCGAGGGAAAGAUGAAAAGGACCCCGGGAGGGGAGUCAAAAGUGCCUGAAAUCGUUGAGAGGGAAGCGCUCAGGGACGAGGUAUUAUUUUGUUAUUUCCAGUAAUGAAUAUAAGCAACCCUUGGCAGUUGUCCGAUGAGAUGAUUUGGUUUUCUGUUGACCGGGAGGUUAAGAGUGUUGAACGAGGGGAGGGGGCUUGCUCCUUUUUGAGUUCGAUGCCUUACAUUCUUCUUCAAUCAAAAGGGGAUUAUCUCUUGUUUAUCCAACUGUUUAAGGUGAGUCGACAUCAGCUCUAUAUCUGAUGACGGAAGAGUGUGUGAUAAUUAACUGAUGUGUAGUAAGGGGCAACUCUUGCUGCGCGGUUGCAUGCUUGUUGUCGUCGGUGGGGCUGAGGAAUCCGCGCAGAAUGCAUGCUUUCGGGGUGACUCGGGGGCAGAGGGACACCAUUUCGGAGAGUCUGAUCGGGGGAGGGCCGGGAACCGGCGCUUUUCUGAUCAUAGGCGCUUCUUGAGUGGACUGUUUUCUAACCUCUAGUGCAUUAGCCGAUGUCGGCCGAGCGGCCCUGAGUGACCCGUCUUGAAACACGGACCAAGGAGUCCGACGCGCGCGCAAGCGUCGAGGGGGGCGAAGCCCCAGACACAUAGUGAAAGCGAGGCUUCCAAUCUUCGGAAAGGAAGCAAGGCAGGAGGAGAAACAAAGUGUCUGUUAUGGAUGUCUUGGGCUCCGCACUGUCGGCCGACCUGGAUUUUUUAGAAAGGUUCGAGCAGGAGCGCGCUCGUUGGGACCCGAAAGAUCGCGAGCUACGGACGGCCAGGACGAGGCCAGGGGAAACCCUGGUGGAGGUCCGAAGCGGUACUGACGUGCAAAUCGUUCGUCGGAGCUGCCCGUAGGGGCGAAAGACCAAUCGAGCGAUCUGGUAGCUGGUUCCCCC
RNAcentral lists this unclassified non-coding RNA (2041 nucleotides) under uncultured fungus. RNAcentral's name for it is "sequence contains 18S rRNA gene, ITS1, 5.8S rRNA gene, ITS2, 28S rRNA gene". The stretch from base 726 to 2041 matches the Rfam family "Eukaryotic large subunit ribosomal RNA", at positions 1 to 961 of the family's 3401-position model. Lineage: Eukaryota; Fungi. The record is from RNAcentral.